CCUACGGGAGGCUGCAGUGGGGAAUAUUGGGCAAUGGGCGCAAGCCUGACCCAGCAACGCCGCGUGAAGGAAGAAGGCAUUGGGGUUGUAAACUCCUUUUCUCAGGGACGAAGCAAGUGACGGUACCUGAGGAAUAAGCCACGGCUAACUACGUGCCAGCAGCGGCGGUAAUACGGAGGCGGCAAGCGUUCUUCGGAUUUACUGGGUGUAAAGGGGGGGUAGGUGGGACUGCACUUCAGAUGUGAAAUCCACGGGCUCAACCUGUGGCCUGCAUUUGAAACUGGAGUUCUUGAGUACUGGAGAGGCAGGCGGAAUUCGUGGUGUAGCGGUGAAAUGCGUAGAUAUUGGGAGGAACACCAGUGGCGAAGGCAGUCUGCUGGACAGCAACUGACGCUGAGGCGCGAAAGCGUGGGGAGCGAACAGGAUUAGAUACCCCAGUAGUC
This 443-nucleotide ribosomal RNA is filed under the name uncultured bacterium. Its description in RNAcentral is "partial 16S ribosomal RNA". It matches the Rfam family "Bacterial small subunit ribosomal RNA", at positions 338 to 795 of the family's 1533-position model. The record is from RNAcentral.